Molecule: long non-coding RNA, 207 nt
Filed under: Phaseolus vulgaris (common bean)
Lineage: Eukaryota; Viridiplantae; Streptophyta; Magnoliopsida; Fabales; Fabaceae
Description: long non-coding RNA (PVUL_LNC004514)
Source: RNAcentral
CUGAAUACAUUUUAACCUCAUAACUGUCUACUCCAAUUGCACCAAUUUUUCUUUUUGUGGAAGUUUACUCUGAGGCCAGAGCUUAAUUCGAAACAUCUUAAAAUAGCCUUGAUAUUUUGUACAUUUGAUUCGCAUACAAAAACGGUGUCAUCAGCAAAUUGGAGUAGAUUCACAUUCACCUUUUUAUCCUCGACUUUUAAUCCCGAA